AAAUUGAAGAGUUUGAUCAUGGCUCAGAUUGAACGCUGGCGGCAGGCUUAACACAUGCAAGUCGAACGGUAACAGGAAGCAGCUUGCUGCUUUGCUGACGAGUGGCGGACGGGUGAGUAAUGUCUGGGAAACUGCCUGAUGGAGGGGGAUAACUACUGGAAACGGUGGCUAAUACCGCAUAACG
This 184-nucleotide ribosomal RNA is filed under the name Salmonella enterica subsp. enterica. RNAcentral's name for it is "partial 16S ribosomal RNA". It matches the Rfam family "Bacterial small subunit ribosomal RNA", at positions 1 to 178 of the family's 1533-position model. RNAcentral also lists the same sequence under 1 other name. The record is from RNAcentral. Lineage: Bacteria; Pseudomonadati; Pseudomonadota; Gammaproteobacteria; Enterobacterales; Enterobacteriaceae.